This 728-nucleotide unclassified non-coding RNA is filed under the name Hevea brasiliensis (rubber tree). Lineage: Eukaryota; Viridiplantae; Streptophyta; Magnoliopsida; Malpighiales; Euphorbiaceae. The record is from RNAcentral.
GGAGUCUUUUCUUAUGUGGUACCUGUCUUCAUAGCUGAAAUUGCACCCAAAAAUCUUCGUGGAGCUUUAACAACUCUAAAUCAGCUUAUGAUAUGCAGUGGAGUGUCCGUUUUCUACAUAAUAGGGACAGUACUAACAUGGCGGGCUCUGGCUUUAACCGGACUUGUCCCCUGUGCUAUUUUGCUUUUUGGCCUAUUUCUCAUUCCAGAAUCCCCCAGAUGGCUGGCAAAGAUAGGACGAGAAAAGCAGUUUGAGACUGCACUAAAGACACUUCGCGGCAAGGAUGCAGAUAUAUCUAAUGAGGCAGCUGAAAUUAAGGAUUAUAUAGAAACUCUUGAAAGGCUCCCAAAAGCCAAACUGCUGGAUUUGUUUCAAAGAAGAUACCUGCGCUCUGUUAUUAUAGGAGUUGGAUUGAUGGUCUUUCAGCAAUUUGGAGGAAUCAACGGAGUCUGCUUUUAUGUCAGCAACAUUUUUGAGUCAGCAGGAUUUUCUGCCUCUAUUGGGACCAUAACCUAUGCCAUUAUUCAGGUUGUGGUUACUGCCCUUAACACAACUGUGAUAGACAAGGGUGGAAGAAAGCCUCUCUUAUUGAUUUCUGCAUCAGGACUGGUCAUUGCCUGCAUAAUAACUGGGAUUUCAUUCUAUCUGAAGGCUAAUGAAUUGGCACUCCAGUCUGUACCUAUACUAGCUGUUACUGGCAUACUGCUAUAUAUAGGAUCAUUUUCUGC